UACGUAGGUGACCAGCGUUGUCCGGAUUUACUGGGCGUAAAGAGCGCGCAGGCGGUCGUUCAAGUCGAGUGUGAAAGCCCCCGGCUCAACUGGGGAGGGUCAUUCGAUACUGAUCGACUUGAAGGCAGGAGAGGGAAGCGGAAUUCCCGGUGUAGUGGUGAAAUGCGUAGAUAUCUGGAGGAACACCGGUGGCGAAGGCGGCAUCCUGGACCGGCAUUGACGCUGAACAGCGAAAGCCAGGGGAGCAAACGGG
This 253-nucleotide ribosomal RNA is filed under the name uncultured bacterium. RNAcentral describes it as "partial 16S ribosomal RNA". It matches the Rfam family "Bacterial small subunit ribosomal RNA", at positions 524 to 776 of the family's 1533-position model. The record is from RNAcentral.